UAUCUCUGUAGAGUCUGCAUAUCAAUAAGCGGAGGAAAAGAAACUAACAAGGAUUCCCUAGUAACGGCGAGUGAAGCGGGAAGAGCUCAAAUUUGAAAUCUUCAAGGUUCUACCUUGACGAAUUGUAGUUUAAAGAAGUGUUUUCUGUUAGAUUUGAGUAGCAAAAGUUCCUUGGAAUAGGGACAUCAUAGAGGGUGAGAAUCCCGUAUUUGGACUAUUCAUUUCUAGCUUUGUGAUACACUUUCAAAGAGUCGGAUUGUCUGGGAAUGCAGUCCAAAAUGGGUGGUAAAUUUCAUCUAAAGCUAAAUAUAUGGCGAGAGACCGAUAGCGAACAAGUACCGUGAGGGAAAGAUGAAAAGAACUUUGAAAAGAGAGUUAAACAGUACGUGAAAUUGUCAAAAGGGAAGCGUUUGACACCAGUGUUGUUUUUCCGAAAAUCAAUUACGAAUGGCUUGAUUUUGUGUUGUAUUGACCUUAUCAGCUUUCUUCACUUUUUUCGAGUCUUUCUUAAUGCACUUUUCGGUUAACAAGUCAACAUCAAUUUCUUUUGUUGUAAAAGAGUAUUCGGAAGGUGGCUUUCUUUUCGGAGAAAGUGUUUAUAGCCCUAUACUUCUACAAUCGGAGAGAUUGAGGUCUGCAGCGUAGAUCCUUCGGGGUUAGAUACAUUUGUGCUAAGUUGUAGCUUUUCAUAGACAACUUGUUGACUAUGUUUAGUCAUGCGGCUUACUCGCUUAUGCUAUUUUACCUACGCUUAGGAUGUUGAAGACUCUACAGAGAUA
RNAcentral lists this ribosomal RNA (779 nucleotides) under uncultured Neocallimastigales. RNAcentral's name for it is "partial large subunit ribosomal RNA". It matches the Rfam family "Eukaryotic large subunit ribosomal RNA", at positions 24 to 628 of the family's 3401-position model. The record is from RNAcentral. Lineage: Eukaryota; Fungi; Neocallimastigomycota; Neocallimastigomycetes; Neocallimastigales.